AUCUAAUGCUGGGCUCCCUCUCCCAACUGAGGAAACUGAGACUUACUAUGUUUAAAGGACACAUCAUUCACAUGGAUAUGAUUCCAUUUGAGUUUAAAGGGUGAGAUUAACAAGACAAUGACUUGUCAUUUAACGGCCAUCAGCAUCCUCUGAAUUCUGAAUUGUGGGGCACUGGAAGACAUUCCAAGUUCUUGUUUGGCUGCUUCGCUCUUUGAAACUUGUUGAAAAUACGUAAAAAAUAUUCUAUCUGAAAAAUUUAUAUUUACGACUAUUUCUUUUUCUGUGUUUUCUUGAGCAAGCUGACCUUCCUGAAGAGCUGCUAAAGGAUUUCUCUUCAUCACUGAAGUGGAGCCCAGCAACUAGUAUAUCUGAUAAACUGCAAGACACAGAUUUAGGAUUCUCGAAGCUACUGUCAGCAUAGACACAGCCUCGGUUUUUCCAUCUGCAAAAUGCCAAUAAUUACGCCUGCUGCUGCCAGAAUGAUCUUGAAGAAUAAUGAGAAAAUGCCUAUAAGAACACUUAGAGUAACUCAGAAUAAACCUGUCAGAGAAAUGCCAAGAAUUAUUACCCUGCUAUUUUUGUAAGUGUGUGUGGUUUUUGCUGCUUUCCUAACAUAGCAAAGAAAAAGUAUAACUCCUAGAUUAAAAUAAUCCCUAUCAAAAAAAAAAAAAAGGGAGAAAAGGAAAAGUCCUACCCACCACAAACGUGCUAGGGCACCAACCAAGGUGAUAAUUAUGUUAGCAUGGUUUGGGAGAGGAAUCCCAUAUUUUGCAUGAUAUUUUACAUUACUAUCUCCACAGUCUGGAGGCAGAAUUCCUAAAAUCCAAAUUCAUACUGUGUCAUUGGGAGAGUUCUAGUAACAUAUCAAAAACUUCACUAUGGGUGACAGAUGGUAGGUAGACAUACUGUGGUGAUCAUUUCACAGUGUAUACAAAUAUCAGAUCAUUAUGUUGUACACCUGAAACUGAUAGAGUGUUCCAUGUCAAUGAUACCUCAGUGGGGGAAAAAAAAAGAAAUAAAAGUUAGGGAUCUUAAAAAAAACAACCCCCAAAAUUCCACUAUGAAUGACUUUUCGGUAAAGGGUGGCCUCCAGGAGAACACGAAAUGCUUUUUGUUUCAUAUAGGACCGAUAUUAAUAUAAAGUAGUUAUAGAAAAAUCAAAAUCUGUCAUGUUAAAAAUAACGGGCCCACCCAUCUGCCAAGUUACAAAACUUAUUUUUGAACAUCAUCACUUAAUUUGCAGACGUUUAAGACAACAGUGAUUAACAAUGAUCAUUAUCAUUACCAUUUUAAAAUUAAGUUGAAAAUGUGGUUUAUGAGAAAGAAAGCCUGAAAUAAAAGCUAGAGCCAAGAUAAACACUAAAAUUUCUGUUCUGGGUUUAAGUGGGGGAAAGAUUACACUAACUGCCUUUUGAGAAAAUUAUUUUCUCUUUCAUCAUUUAAGAAAAACAUGUGAAAACUUCUUAGAAGUUGAUAUACCAUUUCAGAGCACGAGAGCCACAUGGGUGUUCACUAUGAUAUUGAUAUCAUGUUACAGAUGGAAACACUUGUAAUUCACAGAAUUAAGUGGGCUAGGACCCACUUUUCGGCUCCCAAAGUGCACACAAUUGAAGGUUGCCGGACACACGGACAGUUUUUAAACAAUCCAGCAGGGGGCAGAAGUACUCAGGCACAGCAACCAGUACGGCCUAUCGCUCCUCGAUACAAUCAUUUCAUCAGCAAUAAUCAGGUCACUGCAUAAAGGAUGUUAUCCAUUCUUGCUUUGGAAGUCUUUAAAUGGUUUCCAGGUGAAACAUUUUUAAGUGAGGGUUCUUUCAGUGAUUUAAUAGAGCAGUCAUUAUUGGAUUGAAGUGUUAAAUACGAGUUAAGAGGCCUUCACAUUUUUACACGACUAAGUUCCAGGGUUUCAAAGGCAUUCUCAGGAAAUUGUCCUGAAAUUAUUACCCAGUCUCCAGAAACAGACUUGUCCUUUUAUGUUUUACCCCUCUGUACAUUCUUCCCUGAUUUUUUUCUCUUCAAAUAUCUAGUGACGAGGUCUAUAAAAUAAGACGCUUCUAGAAAUCCUACGAGACCUCAAGGUAAGUUUACCUACUAGUUAUUAUUUUACAAACAUGUUAUAUCUAGUGGAUUACAAUGACAAGUCCUGCUGUGCUAUCCCUGCACUGAAAUGUCACUAGUUAAGGUUGUGAUAGAACAGGAGGGAAGUCCCAGUAAGUACUGAUAUAGAAACUCACUCCACAGGUCUAUGAAUCUACUUAAGAGAAAAGCGGAAGUAAAAUAGGAAAACUAAACACUAAGAACCAUUUUCCUCACAUAACUUAUAUCUUUACUGUAAUAAAUAUUGUUAAAAGGUUGACAGUUCAUUUCAAAGUGUAACUUUUACACAAAAAAUACCACAGAAAUAGCGAUUCUACUCCCUCCCACGUUAAUUCCUGAUAUGCUACAGGAUUUAAAGAAAUGGAAAAUAAACCCAAAAAGUCCAACCAUGUGGAUUAGGACCAACAAGCUCUUUUGGAUAAAACUGUUGUUCAUCUAUAUUUACCUUCCAGUCACUAUCAUGGGAUGAAAAUUUUGACUUCCGAACUAAGAACUCAGUGGACCAUCUUCUCACAAAAGCCUAAGUUACUCUCUGAUUCUUCUUCUUCGCUUUUUUUUUUUUUUAAACAGUAGGAGGAGACUUUAUUUAUUUUGGGGACAUUAUCCCUGCUUCUAACACAGACUAAAAAGUCAAUACCAUGGUCAAUAUAUGAUGACUCUGUGUUCGUAUAUGGUGUGUGUAGGUCUGGGGUCAGGGAGGUGGGUACAAAAAGGAGGAGGGUUGACAUGCUUUGCACUUCUGCUUCUUCACUUUUAUCUGAUGUUUUAUGUCUGCCGAGCUGCAAGGGAGAACUCUGUGACUCCACAUACGGAAGCCGGGUGGUGUCAUGUCCUGGUACGUCGGACCGGUCACGGGGAAACUAGGUGCUGGGUCCUUGUCUCAUUAGCUGUGCCACCUUGGGAAGUCACCUCACAUUUAGGGGGCCUCAGUUUUCUCAUCUGUAAAACGAUCGACUGGAUGAGGAGAUCACUAAGAAUCCUUUAAACUUCGAGAUUCUGUGAUUAAUAGAAUUCAUCUUUUAGUGGAAUGAUACAGUUAAUGGACCUGAGCAGCUAAGACUAUCAGGCAUUGGCUCAGAAACUGCGAGUAAGAGCCCUAUCUAUUUGUGCACUUGGUGAAGCUGAGAACGAUGGAGAAAGAGAGAGAAUGGAUGUAAAAUAUGAGAAGAAGAUCGCUUUAAUUUGAACAGCCUUGGUUUUUUGUUUAGUGCUCUGAAUAGGAAUAGGGAAAAAAAAGGUUAGUAUUUAUUGGAAUUGCUAUUUUUAGGUCAUUCAGGGUUAAUGACAAAUCUGAACUGUCACACAUAAAAAGGCCCUACUGACAUAAACAAUUUUACACAGCAUGUGCAGAUACAAGAAACCGAGAGGCCUAACUGACCACUCUUUGCGUCUCAUGGUUCAGUCUGUCACUCAACUCUCUAAAAUAUUUGGCUUUAGAAACCUGACAGUCUUUCGCUAUCAUCCAAGCAAAGUAAACGUAUCUAGCUAGCUAGGACAAUGAUGAGCUUCAGGCUGUACUGACUGUACCUUUACAAGCAAACUAGAUGCCACCGAACAGCUUUGAGGGAUGAGGAGAAAGCACAUGACCGGAAGGGCACACGGACACGGGACUUGGAACUGUCAGGGCACGUACCUGUUGGAAUAAAAGCCGUGUGUUGCUGCAGCUGGGCGCUGGUGAGAGCCUGCUGGUAGUGCAGCACGCUGGGAUUGAACACCGUGCUGGCACCGUUGUUUUUUUCAAGUGCUUGUCUCUUUGGUAAAGGAUGAAGAGCACCGGGGGGAAAGGCCUAUGAGGAAAGAAUCGGAUAGGACAUGUAUAACUCAAAGUAACCACACCUUCCGUGUCCACAGAGAUCAUCAAGUCCAACAUUCUCUUUCAAAAUGACAGCUAAGGAGAUGCCUCUGCCAUGCACCUUAAUUUAAACAGCGGCAAUGUCGAAUGAGUGAGAAUUUGUUAUUGAGAGCGGAAGCAUGAUUUCUGUAACCCAAAACGGUAGCAUCUCAACUAAGGAAAAGAAAAACUAUCAAGCAACACCAAAAUAAAUAAAUAAAUAAAUAAUAAUAAUAAUAAUAAUAAUAAUAAUAAAAUAAAAAAUGACUUCAGCUUUUAAAACGAGUUAAACUAUUCUAAGGGGGGAAAGAAGCAUUUGUGUUAUUAUUAAUACCUAUUCUCUUCGUUAACUAAACGGCAAUUUCUUGGAUUUAAAGGUUAAUAAGAAUUAUAAUGCACAUUUUUCCGAGGCAAGUAAUUUAAAUUUGCUUCACUCUUUUGGAAAAGGUAUUAAAAUUUGUUAGGAUUAAUUUAUUUCACAUAUUACGUAUGAAAAUGAGAUGGCUAAACACCUUAUUUUUUUUCCAUUAAUUAAUAAUAAUGAUCAUUUGCAACCAAUUUUUACAAGUAAUACAAAUCUCAGAUGGUUCUCUGAAAAGCUACAUGCAAAGCGAAAGGUGAAAGGUCAAAGUACCAGGUCUACAGAUGCUUCGAGAGGUCGCUUCAUUGCUUUGGCAGUCGACUGAGUCUUUUAAUAACAGGCAGCGAGCACAUGAUGGCAGUGGGCCAAUGGGAUUCAAGCGAAUUAACAUACAGGUAAACAGCAAGCAGAGGUGCAUCAUGGGAACGGCAUUGCAUUGUGGAUAGGUGAGAAGGAAAAAAAUAUUCUGAAUGCAAUAUACAACGUACAAAACACUAGGCAUGCACAACAACAAAAAUGUUCUCUAAAGAAAUGAAUAUUACACCUUAAAUUAGUAUUGAAGCAAAAAUGCAUCUACUAUACCUUAGUUAAAAGCAUAUAAGAGAGUAAAAUAUAGAUGUUUGAAAUUCAGGAAAGUUAAUUAAAACAGCAGCUUGCAUACACACCAUAAGCAUUUUUUAUAUUGCUUCAGAAAAAAAAUGCAAAACUUUCAAGGGCCAUAGGAUUGAUGAACUUCUGAUAAGUUAGUUUUCAAACGUAAAAUAAUGAAUGUACUAAGUGGAAGAUCCAAGUGAAAAAAAGAUAUUAUCUUUAACGUUCAGAAAAAUAAUUGUUAAUGAAGAUCUAGCCUAACAAAAUGAAGUGGCAAACUGAGACAAAAAAUUCAGGCAAAAAAAUAUUCAAACACAAGAUUAUUUGGGCAAAACUGUUUGGGUUUGGAUCUUAAUUUUUUGUCUGAAUCAUGUGGAUAAUUGUCUCAAUUCUUCUCUUCACUCUGCUAGCAUGGAUCUGGCAACACGGAAUAAGGUUCCAAACUUAACAAGUUUUGAAUUUGAAUAGUAAGUUUCUCAAAUUUCCCACUCUCAUCCCAUUGUACUGUUUCUAAUGACUAACUUAUCAUCCAUUCUGUGUUUUCCACUACAUUUGAAAUUAUAAUUCAAUUUAUCUCAAACAACUUACCGGAUUAUGCUAAGAAAAUACCCUUUAAAAAGGUAUUUAGUGUUCUCAGGUAUCAGAAUAAUCUCUACUUAAUAAUUCUAUUUGUAAUUUCAGCUAUAAUCAGUGACCAACCCAGUUAAUGAGAAGUGGAACUCGUGGCUAGAACAAGUUACAACAGCUAAAAAGAGCAAAUAGCUAAAAAAAAAAAUAGCCAAGGACUGCUUGAAAUAUUAGAUGUAAAAUAAUAUUUUUAACUUAUAACCAUAUUGGGGGGCAGACUGUCUCAUUUAAGCAGCUGAAAUAAUAACAAAUAUUGAUCGAUUUAGACCAUGGUGAAAAAAUGUUCCUAUUCCUGGAUCAUUGCUGUAAAAAAUGGAAAAUUCUAUGAUGGAAUUCUGUGAAAAUAAAAAUAAAAUAAAAGGAGUAGCUCCAAUGCAAAUAAAAAAUGAAAUACCCCUUUUUCAAUGGGUAGCACAAUAGGUAAAUCCCUAAGGUUUGUGUAAUCAAUACAAAACGUGAUAUUCUAAAGUUCUGAGCUGGAACCAUGGCAUUUGCAAUAAUAUGAGGUACUACUAAACUCUCAAAAUGGGAAACAGUUAAUGAUAUUUUCCUCUGCAGAUAGAGGUCUUUUCAUCAUCAUUUGAUGAUUCGAGAUCAAAAGUAUAGAGGUGCCAGGAGGUAAAGACGGGCAAGGCAGGCAGAAAGAAAGUGGGUGAGGAAAGGAUUGAAGGCAGAGAAGAGAUUUAGAAUGUCCAACAGAGAAAUGUUUGGGAAGGCAGUCUUAAUAGAGGCCAUCAAAUAAUAUAAAAUGAGUGUUCUGGAAGUAGAAUUACAACAUUUUUAAAACCCAGAGAGCCUCACAAUAAGAAAGCUUCUUUGUACUGGAUAUUCUUUCUUCAGACGGAAGUUCCCCAUUAUGUAACUUCCAUGACACCACAUUAUUUAAGAUCUUCGGUUGCUGCAGAGUCUUGACACUGCUUGAUAAUGCGUUUCUUUAAGCUUAAAUUCGUCUGUGCUAACUGUAUAAGGCUGCACAGCCCGUUCUCACAAAGUGCACUGAGAACACAAACUCAGAAUCAGUUUGGUCUCAACAUUCUGGACUCAGUUCUUCUCUUCCCUUUUCCAGUCCUUGGGAGUUCCAAAGCAGGUCUACUGUUGGGUUGAUUUUGUCUGCUAUGCUAACUGGAAGAGUGAUCAUGUCUCCAAAGGAUGGCAUUUAUGAAUGAAAUUUUGAUUGAACAAAGUAUCAUUCAAUGACGUCUCCAAGUAGAAGAAGAAAUAGUAAACAUGUCUCCCUAGGAUCCUCACCUGGAAGGUUAAUGCUCUUUUUUUUCUGAUCUUAGAUUGAUGAAAGUUCAUAUCCACAGAAAUCAGAAGAACCUAGGAAUGUGAGGACACUGAGAGCUCUAAACUGAGCUGGCCAGCAUCUCCUUUUCUCCCACUGCAUACUGCUCUAAUUCCAAAGCCAGUAAGCGGUGGUUGGCAUCUCGGCCAUCAGUGACGUUCGUUAUAUGAAGGGUCACUGAUGUGACAGUCAAGCUCUGUGACAGUCAAACUUACUUGGGAAAUACAGUUUCACCGACCAGUGGCCAAGAGGGUUUGAAGGGUAAACAGAGAAGUCGCAAGAUUGCUCAUCAUUUCCUCCUGCUUUGGAUAUAAGCCAAUAUUCCGAUCUUUAGUUCAUAAAAUGUACAAAUAAAAAUUACUAAGAUGCUCCCAUCAAUUCCGAGUAAGCCUUCCUCUCUAAAUGGAAUCCUCCAGUCUGAGACCACAUCAGAGGUACAGAGCAGCCGUCAAGCAUUUACCAAGGGUUGCCAUGUGCAGGACAAGACGGCUUCAUUCCUGGCUUGAAAUGAACUGCAUGAGACCUGCUAAAGUCGUUGUAAAUUAUUUUUCUAUGUCUUUGUCUACCAGUCCUGUUGGGGAGGACAAUUUGUUCCCAACUCAGCUGAUUUAAUUUGUUUUCUAAACCACACAGUCACAAACUGAACACUCCAUGGGUCCAGCAGGUGGAGCCCCAAACACUUUUCUAGACCAUGAAAGGUCUGUUCUAUAUUCACAGGGGCAGGCUAGAUCAAAACAGCAGUGUUAGGGUCUUUAGUCUUUUCGUUUUGGGAUUCAUGUGCUCCAGAGUGAAGCUGAUACCAGGCAGCAACAUUGUAUUGCCCUCAAGAUUUAUUGGGUAAAUAUUUAAGCAAAUGCACAUUGAAAGAACAUCUUCCAGUGAUCCAACGUAAAGCACCGUGUACAUCCUAACCAUACAUAUAUCACCUAACAACUUAAAUAGGUAAUGGAAUUAAAGGAGCUCUUUAAAAAAUCUAUCAGAAUCUUUACACUACUGCAUAAAGUGCUCUAUUAAAUAUCACAGGAUAUAGUAGCUAAGAUAAAUCCUCUUACUCUGAUUAAAGAGAAAUUUUACCCAGUAAGGGUUGGCUUGACUCAUGACUUAAGAAUCAUCUUCUAUAAUUAUAUGAACGUGUUUUCUUGACUUUUACCAAACACUUGAACUUAAGUUAAAGAAAAUAUCUCAAUCAAUACUUAAUAUGCCCAGCUUCCAGUUCCCCUGUUUACCAACAGUACAACCAGGGCUGAUAUUCUGGAACGUUCCAAUAUAAUCAUAUUAGCUCUUAAAAUAUUGAAAUGUGAUCAUACCAAAUGGUCAAUAGUCAUAGUUCCACUUACCCCUACCCCUGUCCCCAGGUGUUUCAAAUUCUUCUGAUUUGGCCAUUCUCAGAUCUUUCUAGGAGCCAUGAAAGGUUAAUGCCAGCACAGCUGGAGGCCUUCAGGAGCCAUCUCUAUGGCCUACACAGUGAUUGAUUCAGUGUUCCACUGGUUGUUAAAUAUUUUGCCCCUGAACACACAUUCCAAACAGCUGAAUUUUGUUUGUGCUAAACUAAUUCUUUCCCUACAGACUAAUUUCCUUUAUAACUUUGCCUUAAAUUGAAACCACAGAAUUAUGAAUGCAGGGCUUUUAGAUGAAUGUGUGUGUGUGUGUGUGUGUGUGUGCGUGCACAUGGCUGUUUUGCAAGACUAAAUUAAUAUCUUAUAAGCAUUCACUUACACAGAAGUACACUUCUACCCCAGAUGCAUCUCAAACCACAAAUAUAAUGAAGUACCUCCAGUUUGUCAGUCCUGAGAAGUUUCUGAGUUGCAGUUGAGCCCGGGACAGUGACGGGUGGACUUCCGGGAACAAUAACGGGUGUGGUGGGUAGAAUUUCCGUUGGGACUAACCCAACUCCAGGGGUUACAGGUGCUAAGUAAGGAGCAAAGCUAAUCGCCGUAUUUGUCCCUAUUGCGGGACCUACAGGAAAAGUGGGCUGUUAAAGGAAGACAACACAGGACAAAGAUUUCUUUAGAAUAAAACUUUAAAAAAUCACCAGUAAGUGUCAUUUGAGCAAAACUUACUCACCAUACACAAGACCCUUUGUGUUACUUGCGUAAAUCGAUGCUGGCCUGUGAAAGUUCAUUAGAUUGCCUGUUUUGUUUUGCUUAAAAAAAAUAAUAUCCAUGUAUAUCCUCUCUUCCUAAAACCAUACAAAAACAUGCGAGCACAUUAUAGAAACCUAAUUACAGGGAACGGAUUAAAUUUUUAUUCCUAUGAAAGUUUUCUCAAGAAAAAACAAUAAUUCUCACUGUCAUUGCUCAUCAUUCCAAACAGUGAAUGUUAUAACAGGAAGGGGGUAAACCUAUGGAAAACUGACUCCUAAUCUUUGAUUUCUCCUCCUUGCAUCUCAAAAAAGGACAGGAGGAAAGAAAAACCUUGAUUAGAGCCUGAUUUUCAAGUUGAUCGAGUACAUACAUUCUCAAAAAUUGGGGAUUAUCUGGGACUGUAUUUGCUCUGAUUCAGCAUCAUGUUCCCACAUUCCGUCACUAGCCUGUAUGUAGUGUUCAUAUGGACCUGCUGUUUCUCGGUCCAGUUCAACUGUGUCUAGAUCUAACCUUCCCUGCCUAAAAGGUUGGAUGAGAGAACAUGAACUUUUUAAUUGGCCAAUUUUUCAACUGGCCACUAAACGUUGGUUUGGUUUCCUAGGUUAAAAUCAAUGCAACAGUGAUAAAGGCAUACCGUACUUUAUUUAAACUUCUCGAUCGCUACGCUCCUUGUCCGGAGAUAAGAAAGAACUGCGCUAGGGGGUUGAUGGGAUAAUAAUUUUUAAAAGCCCCACCUAAAAAUAUGCUUUCCAGAAAGGAAAUAAUGUAAGAGAACAAUAAAGUUUGCUUCACUUUUCUAGAACCAAUGUUAAAAGUGUAAGACGCUAAAGAUUUUUGUUAGAAUGAAUUUUACACUAAAUUGUCCCUGAAUGGUUUUAUUGGUUGGUUGGCUUUUUAGCUAGUUGGUGACUUUUACCCUCUUUAUUUUUAGGAGCAGUUUGCAGAUAUUUGCAACCACGUGUUAAUGCAGUUUUCUAAUAACCAAACUGUGCUCUCGGCCAUGUCACGCUACCCCUCUAUUUGUAUAUUGUGAGUAACAUUCUUGUUUUCUAUUUACGGCUCUGAAUGAGUUGUUGAACAUAUGGGAAAAAUAACAAUCUAUGUUUAUUAUUAAACAAAUUUUUUGUUGACAGCAAUAACGGAAAAAUACCUCUUAUGGAUGCUCAUGUUAGAAAACAGUGAGUUACUGAUAGUUUGUUCAAGGAGUUCUCAGAGGUUCUGGAGGUCUUUAGCGAAGUGGCUGGGGGCUGUGAGAGGUGAUUCUAAUGGCCUGCGAGGGCUGUUAUAGCCCUCCCACGAGGAGCUCUUAGAUCUUUAUGGCUCAGACAUCAAAUUCACUUUGGGACAGGGUUGCAACAUGAGGUCUCAACAUGGGAAAUAGAUGGCAGUUAGGAUUUUUUUUCUCCCAAAUUUUAUAUGUGUAUGUUUUCCAUUUUCAACCCAUUGAGCCAUAAUUACAGAAAGUUGCGGUUUUCAGUAACUAUAGUUUUUAUGAGUUAGCACCAUUGAAAAAAAGCCAAGUGAUUUAAAUGGUAUGACUAUCUAAUGUUAGAAUUAAAAAAAAAAUCAACUCUGAAAGGUCAUAAAUCACAACAGAUCAGGGAUUCAAAGAACCAGCUAAAUCAGAAAUGCCUGAGGGGAAUUUCAUAAAUAGAAAUAUCGCCAGACUCGAUAGGUCUAGGCAGGGACCCUGAAAUUUGCAUUUAAAAAAACUUACUAUGUGAUCUGAUGUGUGGCCCAGUUUGGGGACCACUGUCAUAGAUGGAGAGUGAAAAUAGGUAUUAAAACACUUGUACUGAAUGUGUAAUUUAACACAGAGACCAUUAUCAAAGUAAACAUUCAAAGAAAACAAACCUCCCCCACAGGCCCGUUUUUGAUUUUCUGCAGCAGCAGAUUCCCAACCCUCCCUCUUGUGGAUCAUUUGAAGCCAGGGUCAGUGUGGUGACAUAAAUACAGGUUGUACCUUGACUGUCAGUGGGAUGUCAGAACCUCAAAACUCAUUUCCUGAAACCUUUUUGGAUAUCAGUAAAUCUAUUAAAAUCAGAAAAAUUUUGCUUUCCAAAAUGUAAAUUACUUGUUCAUCUAAUUUAAUGAUCUAAAAUGAAUGUUGCAGGGGCGCCUGGGUGGCAGUCGGUUAAGCGUCCGACUUCGGCUCAGGUCGUGAUCUCACGGUUUGUGGGUUCAGGCCCUGCGUCGGGCUCUGUGCUAACAGCUCAGGCCUGGAGCCUGCUUCAGAUUCUGUGUCUCCCUCUCUCUCUGCCCCUCCCCUGCUCAUGCUCUGUCUCUCUCUCUCUCUCUCUUUC
Molecule: long non-coding RNA, 11179 nt
Organism: Acinonyx jubatus (cheetah)
Lineage: Eukaryota; Metazoa; Chordata; Mammalia; Carnivora; Felidae
Exons: 3
Source: RefSeq, a predicted model, not a curated record